Molecule: ribosomal RNA, 503 nt
Filed under: uncultured bacterium
Lineage: Bacteria
Description: partial 16S ribosomal RNA
Rfam family: Bacterial small subunit ribosomal RNA
Source: RNAcentral
AUUGAACGCUGGCGGCAGGCUUAACACAUGCAAGUCGAGCGGGGUGAUGGUGCUUGCACUAUCACUUAGCGGCGGACGGGUGAGUAAUGCUUAGGAAUCUGCCUAUUAGUGGGGGACAACAUCUCGAAAGGGAUGCUAAUACCGCAUACGUCCUACGGGAGAAAGCAGGGGAUCACUUGUGACCUUGCGCUAAUAGAUGAGCCUAAGUCGGAUUAGCUAGUUGGUGGGGUAAAGGCCUACCAAGGCGACGAUCUGUAGCGGGUCUGAGAGGAUGAUCCGCCACACUGGGACUGAGACACGGCCCAGACUCCUACGGGAGGCAGCAGUGGGGAAUAUUGGACAAUGGGGGGAACCCUGAUCCAGCCAUGCCGCGUGUGUGAAGAAGGCCUUAUGGUUGUAAAGCACUUUAAGCGAGGAGGAGGCUCUUUUGGUUAAUACCCAGAAUGAGUGGACGUUACUCGCGGAAUAAGCACCGGCUAACUCUGUGCCAGCAGCCGCCGCAG